Molecule: non-coding RNA, 490 nt
Organism: Drosophila melanogaster (fruit fly)
Lineage: Eukaryota; Metazoa; Arthropoda; Insecta; Diptera; Drosophilidae
Source: Ensembl
UCUCUAAACAAUGAAGUAAGAGUAAACAGUUUUCGGAUGCUGUGCAAGUCCAUUAGAAUGUCUUAUCAAAGUAAAAUAGUUCUGUAAAAGCCGUAUCUAUAUGUGUUUGUAUGUUCCUGAGCUGCAUCCACAGAUGUAUCUGUAUCUAUCAGCGCUGGCACAUCAUCAGUCAUUAGUGGCGCCAUUGUUGGCUCCUUAAAUAUUGCCGUCUUUGUUGCGGCGAGUGGCCCCCAUUGUUACUGUCUCCCUCGAAUUCUAGACUCUCUCCUCUCCCCUUUCUAUGCGCUUUUAUUAACUUUGGCCAAAAUGUGGCUGACUGCCACUUGAAGGCAUCAAUGGACAACUAAGUUUCAUAAACAACAAGCUCUUCGGCCCAUCAUUCAUCUUUUUUUGUGUGUGUCGAGUUGAAGACGCUUUAAAAGCGUUUUCUUCACAGACUGAUUUGAGCCAUCCGAUGAGUGAUAUUUUUAAGGCAGACAAUGCCUUCGGG